AGCGAACGCUGGCGGUAGGCCUAACACAUGCAAGUCGAACGGCAGCACAGUAAGAGCUUGCUCUUACGGGUGGCGAGUGGCGGACGGGUGAGGAAUACAUCGGAAUCUACUUUUUCGUGGGGGAUAACGUAGGGAAACUUACGCUAAUACCGCAUACGACCUACGGGUGAAAGCAGGGGAUCUUCGGACCUUGCGCGAUUGAAUGAGCCGAUGUCGGAUUAGCUAGUUGGCGGGGUAAAGGCCCACCAAGGCGACGAUCCGUAGCUGGUCUGAGAGGAUGAUCAGCCACACUGGAAAUGAGACACGGUCCAGACUCCUACGGGAGGCAGCAGUGGGGAAUAUUGGACAAUGGGCGCAAGCCUGAUCCAGCCAUACCGCGUGGGUGAAGAAGGCCUUCGGGUUGUAAAGCCCUUUUGUUGGGAAAGAAAAGCAGCAGGUUAAUACCCCGCUGUUCUGACGGUACCCAAAGAAUAAGCACCGGCUAACUUCGUG
RNAcentral lists this ribosomal RNA (492 nucleotides) under uncultured bacterium. RNAcentral's name for it is "partial 16S ribosomal RNA". It matches the Rfam family "Bacterial small subunit ribosomal RNA", at positions 29 to 507 of the family's 1533-position model. The record is from RNAcentral.